This 292-nucleotide ribosomal RNA is filed under the name uncultured prokaryote. Its description in RNAcentral is "partial 16S ribosomal RNA". It matches the Rfam family "Bacterial small subunit ribosomal RNA", at positions 505 to 796 of the family's 1533-position model. The record is from RNAcentral.
GUGUCAGCCGCCGCGGUAAUACGUAGGUGGCGAGCGUUAUCCGGAUUUACUGGGCGUAAAGGGAGCGUAGGCGGAUGAUUAAGUGGGAUGUGAAAUACCCGGGCUCAACUUGGGUGCUGCAUUCCAAACUGGUUAUCUAGAGUGCAGGAGAGGAGAGUGGAAUUCCUAGUGUAGCGGUGAAAUGCGUAGAGAUUAGGAAGAACACCAGUGGCGAAGGCGACUCUCUGGACUGUAACUGACGCUGAGGCUCGAAAGCGUGGGGAGCAAACAGGAUUAGAAACCCGGGUAGUCC